UACGAAGGGGGCUAGCGUUGCUCGGAAUUACUGGGCGUAAAGCGCACGUAGGCGGAUUGUUAAGUCGGGGGUGAAAUCCUGGAGCUCAACUCCAGAACUGCCUUCGAUACUGGCGAUCUCGAGUUCGGGAGAGGUGAGUGGAACUGCGAGUGUAGAGGUGAAAUUCGUAGAUAUUCGCAAGAACACCGGUGGCGAAGGCGGGUCUCUGGGCAGUAACUGACGCUGAGGAGCGAAAGCGUGGGGAGCAAACAGG
RNAcentral lists this ribosomal RNA (253 nucleotides) under uncultured bacterium. Its description in RNAcentral is "partial 16S ribosomal RNA". It matches the Rfam family "Bacterial small subunit ribosomal RNA", at positions 524 to 776 of the family's 1533-position model. The record is from RNAcentral.